This 498-nucleotide ribosomal RNA is filed under the name uncultured bacterium. Its description in RNAcentral is "bacterial SSU rRNA". It matches the Rfam family "Bacterial small subunit ribosomal RNA", at positions 11 to 507 of the family's 1533-position model. The record is from RNAcentral.
GUUUGAUCCGUGGCUCGAGGAUGAACGCUGGCGGCGCGCCUAACACAUGCAAGUCGAACGGAGUUAUCUUAUUAGAUCCCUCGGGGUGAAGAUUUUUUAACUAGUGGCGAACGGGUGAGUAACGCGUGAGUAACCUGCCUUCAAGAGGGGGACAACAGUUGGAAACGACUGCUAAUACCGCAUAAGCGCACAGUAUCGCAUGAUACCGUGUGAAAAGCCGAGACGGUAUAAGAUGGACCCGCGUCUGAUUAGCUAGUUGGUGGGGUAACGGCCCACCAAGGCGACGAUCAGUAGCCGACCUGAGAGGGUNACCGGCCACAUUGGGACUGAGACACGGCCCAAACUCCUACGGGAGGCAGCAGUGGGGAAUAUUGCACAAUGGGCGAAAGCCUGAUGCAGCGACGCCGCGUGAGUGAUGAAGUAUUUCGGUAUGUAAAGCUCUAUCAGCAGGGAAGAAAAAUGACGGUACCUGACUAAGAAGCACCGGCUAAAUACGUG